RNAcentral lists this ribosomal RNA (253 nucleotides) under uncultured bacterium. Its description in RNAcentral is "partial 16S ribosomal RNA". It matches the Rfam family "Bacterial small subunit ribosomal RNA", at positions 524 to 776 of the family's 1533-position model. The record is from RNAcentral.
UACAGAGGGUGCAAGCGUCAAUCGGAAUGACUGGGCGUAAAGAGCGCGUAGGUGGUUAUAUAAGUCAGAUGUGAAAGACCUGGGCUUAACCUGGGGGUGUCAUUUGAUACUGUAUGACUGGAGUACGGGAGAGGAAGGUGGAAUUUCCGGUGUAGCGGUGAAAUGCGUAGAGAUCGGAAAGAACACCGGUGGCGAAGGCGGCCUUCUGGCCUGAUACUGACACUGAGGCGCGAAAGCGUGGGGAGCAAACAGG